ACUUAGAAAUCUUCUUUCUAAUUAUCAAGAAGAAAAAUUAAAUUUUGGUAAUAAUCACUAAGUUCUAUCGUAAAACCUUCUUUCUAAUUACAUUAUAUACCAAGAAGAAAAAUUAGCUUUUCGACGAGCUAGGUCAAUUAAUAAUAAUUACCGUGCCAUUCUAAAAACUUACAAACCUUCUUUUAAUUAAUUUACACUGUAUACUCGAACGCACUUCUCACGAUCUCUCUUGGAUCAUCAACCAAUCGCUCAACCGAUGGUCAUUACCAAUGUUUGUUUUACAACCAAUCAGAGUUCACGUUCCUUUCGAACGGUUGAAUGGUUCGUUACGUUCGGUGUGUCGUUAAUCGAUAUCAUUCCAACGCGAGAGAGCGUGCCGAUUAAUUAGAACGACGAGAUGAUCCGCUCACGCGGCACGGAGAAACGAGGAAGCGAGCCAUCCUCGAGGAUGAUGUGGAACCAGGAAGCAGCCGGGACGAUACGAUCAAAGCCUGAUAAUUCCGACGGAACGGUUCGCCUCUUCGAUCGUUCUUCUAUUGAAAACGAGACCUCAAUUUGCUUCUUGCUAUGUGUUAAUAGCUUCUUCUGUAAUGGCUUCCUCGGACGGUGUUUAAGGGAAAAAAGUGUUGUUAGCUUGGUUAUGUGAGUUUGUAUUGGUUAAUUAUUAACAUUAAAAAAAGAAGUGGAAAAAGAUUAUGCAGUGAAAGGGAAAGGAGAUUUUUUUCAUUUUUUAGAAAAUUAAUGUAGAGAAAAUUAAAGAACGUGAUUAAAAAAUGCUAUUAUUUAAUAAUAAUAAAAGAUUGAAGGUAUAAUGUUACUUAUUGUUAAUGGAUUCUUCAUUAUAUUCGAGACGAAAUAAAUUCUUCCAUUUUUUUGACGAAUUUCCAUGUGAUUAUUUAUACUGAUUAUUAUUUAGACAAAAACACAUCAUAUUAUUUAUCUAAACGAUACGUUUUUAUAUUGUCUUAUAUAUGUACAAUGUAAAAUGAACUGAUACGAUAUGAUAUUUUGGCGGAAACAUGUUGAUAUUUUGCUUAAUAUAAUAGCGACAUUAUAUUAUCCCUAUUGCUGUUGCUACAUUAGAUACAUCACGUGACACAAUAGAACGCUCAGCAUUGGUGGAAGCCUGAUCACGUGACCUUUAUCUAAUUCAGUAAUACCCAUGAGAAUAAUGUGUGUCGUGUAUUAUCCUUUCAUGGAAAUUCGCAAGAGGAAAAUUGAGCUAUAUUUAGUAAUAAAGGGGACAGAAUACUAUUUUCAUUCUAAUCAUAGUUUCAGAUUUUCAGUAUGUUUUAUUUUUAUUCGAAAAGAUAAUUAGUUUCCCUUAUAUUUGAAAAAUUAUCAAACUUGAUUUGAAGAAAGAUAUUUUCAUAUUCUUCUUUGAUCAUAAUUUAUGAAUCGCUCGGUAUAUUCAUUCAUCUUGUGAAAAACAUUCAAAACGUAUUUAAUACAUACUUGCAUAAAAAUCCUAUUAAUGUAGUGAUAAAAAAUAAGCAAACGGAUAUUUUAAAUGGCAUCCUCAUUCCCGACCCAGGAAAAGCGUAUCGAAUCGGAAACAGAUUGCAUCGAGGAUAGAGUUUCCAUUCUUCGCCUGGAGAAAGAUCUGAUAAUCGGUAUUAACACGGGUCGGAUCGUAUCUGUCUCGAUACAUCCAAUGGAUACAAAGUUGGUGUAGAUGCGAUAGUUAUUAUGGAAAUCAGAAUAUUAUUCGUAAUUGAGGAAGUGGCUCAUUUUCUCGAACGAUCGAAGAAAUUGAUCUGUGAUUAGUAUUGUACACGUGGUUCUUCUUUAAAAAAAAUCGUAUUGCAGCGAAAAAAUUGGAAUUAAAAAUACUUAUAAUUUUGAGGUUAUAUGUACGUACUUAUAUAUUUAUUUUAUUCUUGGAGUUCAUAAUUGGAGAAUCUAUAAUUCAUAAGAUUCGAAUUUUUAUUAAUCAAAUCUCUCUAACUAGAUAAUUUCGAAAAAUCGAAAUCUUCUUAAUCUCUUUUUGAAUUAUAAAUUAUCGAAUCUCGUUAUCGAAGUUUGAUUGAAGUGAUACAACAAUAUAAAACAAUUACACGACACAUAUUCCAAUCACGAAGGAUCACAUAAAAUAUAACUUCAUCAAAUAAUAAAACAAGAACUACAAUAAAAUUCCAGAUGCUCGUAAACAUUGGUUUAUAGUUUUUCCCAGGACUUAGGUCGGGUGAGACCUUUGGUAUCCUUUUAUGGCCACACUAUUAUCAUGGAAUCUUGUAAAUGUUUGAACAACCAUCCCAAAGAAGUUUUAUCAUGUUGCGGCAGCAUCGCGUUGUACAUGGAACGUUUUAGUAACCAGAGACACAAAAUAAUUCACUUGAAUUCAUAAGAAAUGCACUGCCGAUAUACUCGGAACACUGGUUUAUCGGUCGGUCUGGUUCAUUAAUCUUUUACAUUUGGAAAGAUCGUUUGGCGAUUCAAUGAAUAAGCGACCUAAUGAAUUUCUUAAUUAAGAGACUUUUGUAUCUAAUUGAUUUUUGCCAAAGAUGAAAGACAAGAAUUUUUAAAGAUGAAAUUAUAGAAAAAAAAUUGUGAAAAAAUUGCUAUUUGCGGAUCAAUGAAUAAUUGAUAAUAUUUUAAACCUAAGAUUUUUAACUAAUUGUUAGAUUUGUAUUUUAGAUAAUUGGAAAUUUCUAAUCUCUAUUUUAACGUAUUAGUUUAAUAUAU
Molecule: long non-coding RNA, 2685 nt
Filed under: Apis mellifera (honey bee)
Lineage: Eukaryota; Metazoa; Arthropoda; Insecta; Hymenoptera; Apidae
Description: uncharacterized LOC102655652, transcript variant X3
Source: RNAcentral